AAAAAUUAUUCCAUCUUCAACCUCCGCUCCUCUAUAAUCGACACCACCAUGCUUUUGUUAUGAUGUGUGUUUUUUCACUUUCUCCAACGCUAGUCACCCAGUUGGCUCCGCACAUCUACUUCACGCCUCCUUUUGAUAGGAACUAAGUCGGAUGUUCAUUUUAUAGAUACAGCUCCACCGGUCCUCAUAUCUUCUCUCCAGCUUGGCAGAAGGGUCCGGUGACAACUGACAUGAGGGAAAAAAGAAUUGCUCCUACAACUCAAAAGUUCGAGAAGAAAACAUCAGUGGCUCAAUAUUUUACCAUCUUUUUCCAAAAUUUUGAAUUUUUUGUAUAAUGAGCUUUCAUAAGUUUAUUCAAGUGUUGUGUUGAGUUCAAAACUUGUAUAAAUCCAAAUUCAAGAAAAGAAGCUCAUACAAACAGGAUAAACAUGAUCUAAUUGCUUUAAGAUUGACCAUAAGGGAAUUCCUAACUAAAGAAUGGUUUGUCUAGGAAAAACGAAUGCUUAAUGGAAUUUAAUCAUCGUUCGUUCAUUUUGUAUGUAUGCAUGUUUUGAAUACUCAUGAAUAGUUUUAAGAGAUUUAUAAUUUUGCUUA
Long non-coding RNA from Lactuca sativa (garden lettuce), 594 nucleotides. RefSeq lists it as uncharacterized. Lineage: Eukaryota; Viridiplantae; Streptophyta; Magnoliopsida; Asterales; Asteraceae. The record is from RefSeq and is a predicted model, not a curated record.